UGGAACAGUGAAUCCAGACUGUGCGUAGGCUGGUGCUUAAAUAUGAGAAUAAUAGGAGAUAAUUACAUAUCUGAAAAUGCCCCUUUUCCUCCGGAGAUGUGGGCAAAGUUUUGUAUUGACGAGGACACGACAACCAAUUGUUGCGAAUCAUUUCACGGCAAGUUAAAUAAAGAAAUCCCAGGGUCACAUCCCAACAUAUUUUGCUGUUGUAAAAUUCUAAUCAAUAUGCAGAUUGAUACAUAUGCGAAACUUAAGUCAUGCAAUAUGAGAAAACCAAGUAAGAAAAAUAGAUUGAAACGGGAGUACAUUGAGCGUUGUAUGUUGAAAUUAAAAACCUACGAAUACUCACGGUUCGAAUUUGUGAAACGAGUCUCUUUUAAAUUCCUGCCUUCCCGAUUAUAAGUAUCCUACUCCAUGGCCAUGUUCCAAUGACAAGUCCUGCUAAUUGGCCGUAGCAGGUGAAAAUUAAUAACCUGUUUUUAAUCAUUUCCAUUCCCUACAUUUUAAUACCCAUUGUCCGGAGAGAGACGAUAUAAACAAACAAAAUAAAAUUAAAAAAAAAAACUUUUUAAACACGCCCUUUGAGUACGCUACACUCUUUGGCCAGUCCUAAGCCUGGAUUAAGUGUGAAGGGAAAGUUUUUUUUUUUAAUUUUAUACUUUUUUCCAUCGAAAAAAUUCCAAGUUUUUCUCCAUUGAAAAUAAUCAGUUGCUUUUCAAAGUGACAACGUCCAGUGCCGAAUACCUAAUCAUUGUUUGGGCGUGAGUGUUACUGCUGAUAACUGAUUUCUCCUCAGCACUCUUAAUUUCUCAGACUUAUCUCAUGCAUUUCGCACCUAGUGUCCGCCGCUUACGCGCGGCGCGUCGCGUCGCACACGCCACUCAUUUCAAACGGGAGCCAACUCGACCCUUAGGGGAGGGGACCCUUUUUCUAACGGGAGCCAACUCGACCCUUAGGGGAGGGGACCCUUUUUCAAACGGGAGCCGAUUCGGACGUUUGGGAGCCAACUCGGGUACGUCCAGCCACGAGGCCCCGGGUCUCUCGUGAGGCAUUCGGCUCUCCCCAAACCUACUUCGGUCUGCUACAUCGCCGCAGCCACCAGCCCGUUUGAGAGGCGUCCGACCCUCCGGUCCGACUUUGCCUGGUCUAAAGUGCCCCGGGGCAAUGGCGGCUUUAGACUUAAGCGCAGGCAUCGGCGGGUACCCGAGGUUGACGGCAGAACAUGAUUGCCAGGCUUCGAUCGGUCACCCCUGAAUUUGGUCACUGACGAAUCGCGCAAAGUUGGUCACAGAUCGGGAUUUUCGGACCACUGUGUACCGGUUGAUCCUUGCACCUCGCGGUUCAAGGAUAUGGCCUAACUACGAUCAGUGGUCCUCUGAAGAUCAUCUUUCCCCUCAAGUUCCUAAGGUUCCGCUUGAUCUCUUCCGUAAGCCAGGGAUAUGGACUAAAAACCAAGGUAAUAACGUACCAAGGUUCCGCUUGAUCCAAGGCUGCAUGGAUAUCGGCUAACAUCCAAGGUGUGAACAGCCCUGCCGAAGCAGAGCCCCGAGGAAGCGCUUGAUCCAUGCCCGAGCGUAUUAGGGAUACUAGGGGGUUACGCCCCCUGGCCGCUACGCGGCCCAACCCCUGAAGGCGCUCCGCGCCGUCAAAGAGGCCGCUUCGCGGCCCAUUUUUGUAGCCGCAGUGUUUAUAAAAUUCAUGUUUUCAUGAUAAUAUUUAUUCAACAAAUCUCGGCAAAACUUUUAUGACGGAAGUAGUAAGAACUCAAUGGACUAAUUCAAAUGCCCCGUCCCGACUCGACGCAGCGUCUGCCUUCUCACUUUGUAUCUGCUGUUAAAUCUGCUGUUAAUAUUAAUAGAAAAUGAUCGGCAAUCAAGUAUAUUGACCAAUGCUACAAUCAAAGCCGGAAGAAUGAGGAAAAAUUGAGUAAAAACCUUAGGCCGGGCGGCUCCGGUUAUUGGGAUUUCCCCCUUGCCC
Molecule: long non-coding RNA, 1977 nt
Filed under: Bemisia tabaci
Lineage: Eukaryota; Metazoa; Arthropoda; Insecta; Hemiptera; Aleyrodidae
Description: lncRNA ENSSSA2NGG005182
Source: RNAcentral